RNAcentral lists this ribosomal RNA (253 nucleotides) under uncultured bacterium. RNAcentral's name for it is "partial 16S ribosomal RNA". It matches the Rfam family "Bacterial small subunit ribosomal RNA", at positions 524 to 776 of the family's 1533-position model. The record is from RNAcentral.
UACGUAGGGGGCUAGCGUUGUCCGGAUUUAUUGGGCGUAAAGAGCGUGUAGGCGGCCAGAAAAGUCCGCUGUGAAAACUCGAGGCUCAACUUCGAGCUGUCGGUGGAAACUUUCUGGCUAGAGUCCGGAAGAGGAGAAUGGAAUUCCUGGUGUAGCGGUGAAAUGCGCAGAUAUCAGGAAGAACACCCGUGGCGAAGGCGGUUCUCUGGGACGGUACUGACGCUGAGACGCGAAAGCGUGGGGAGCGAACAGG